This 445-nucleotide long non-coding RNA is filed under the name Homo sapiens (human). Its description in RNAcentral is "non-protein coding lnc-ADPRM-5:10". Lineage: Eukaryota; Metazoa; Chordata; Mammalia; Primates; Hominidae. The record is from RNAcentral.
CCGGAAAGAAACCCCUGGAAUUUGGAAGAAAAUGUCUAAAAGGGAAUGGCAAGGAACCUGAGGAACCAGCGUGAGGAAAACCUGGAUGAUCUGACGUCUUCCUCACUUUAUCCCUACCUGUCCACGCCUCCAUCCAUCCACCCAUCCAUCACUGAUCAAGCUCUCACUAUGUCUAUAGUGUAGAAGGUGCCACCAAAUGCAAUGGAACCUCUUGUCUCAUGUGUCUACUUGCAUCUUUAAGUUGAUACACGGAAGGCACAGUCCAAGCACAGGAUACUGGAAGCUAUGGAGGUACAGUGGCCUCUGAGCAAACUGAAAACUCUCUAUCACUAAAGGGUUGGGCAUACAGGGUAUCUCCUCUGCUCUGCCACCUACCUUGAGGAUGCUUUACAUGUGGCUAAAAGUGGAGGCAGAGAUAUUUGGAUAAAUAAAUGCUAGAGAAUUG